Molecule: non-coding RNA, 73 nt
Organism: Stegodyphus mimosarum
Lineage: Eukaryota; Metazoa; Arthropoda; Arachnida; Araneae; Eresidae
Source: Rfam
GCCUUCGUGGUGUAAUGGUCAGCACACUGAGCCGGUAUUUCAGAGGUCCGUGGUUUGAUCCCCGGCGAAGGCA